This 529-nucleotide ribosomal RNA is filed under the name uncultured bacterium. RNAcentral's name for it is "partial 16S ribosomal RNA". It matches the Rfam family "Bacterial small subunit ribosomal RNA", at positions 355 to 900 of the family's 1533-position model. The record is from RNAcentral.
UGGGGAAUCUUAGACAAUGGGCGCAAGCCUGAUCUAGCCAUGCCGCGUGGGUGAUGAAGGCCUUAGGGUCGUAAAGCCCUUUCGCCGGGGAAGAUAAUGACGGUACCCGGUAAAGAAACCCCGGCUAACUCCGUGCCAGCAGCCGCGGUAAUACGGAGGGGGUUAGCGUUGUUCGGAAUGACUGGGCGUAAAGCGCGCGUAGGCGGAUCGCAAAAGUCGGGGGUGAAAUCCCGGGGGCUCAACCCCGGAAUGGCCUUCGAGACUCGCGGUCUGGAGUUCGAGAGAGGUGGGUGGAAUUCCGAGUGUAGAGGUGAAAUUCGUAGAUAUUCGGAGGAGCACCAGUGGCGAAGGCGGCCCACUGGCUCGACACUGACGCUGAGGCGCGAAAGCGCGGGGAGCAAACAGGAUUAGAUACCCUGGUAGUCCGCGCCGUAAACGAUGAAUGCCAGACGUCGGGGGGCUUGCCCUUCGGUGUCACACCUAACGGAUUAAGCAUUCCGCCUGGGGAGUACGGCCGCAAGGUUAAAAC